Molecule: long non-coding RNA, 1893 nt
Organism: Mauremys mutica (yellowpond turtle)
Lineage: Eukaryota; Metazoa; Chordata; Testudines; Geoemydidae
Exons: 4
Source: RefSeq, a predicted model, not a curated record
GUAUGUUUGUGGGGGAGGGUUACCUUUGGGGGAAAAGCACAUUGCACUAAGAAAGCUGAAACUUUAGAGAAAGAGUCUUCUACAAACACAGCUGCUGCCUGGCAACUUUUCUAUAUCUGGGAGGACAGGGCAGGGCACCCGGCAGCCUCCAGAAUUGCUGCCAAUAUCAUUCCCUAGCAACCUGCUUUUUCAGGCCAACUCUUCCCUCUGAGAAGCUGAAUACAUCACCUCUGUGACACAGUCCAGAAAUCCUGGUUCCUCUUGAACCAUGGAGAUUGGACUGUCUGCUGAGUCUGCCACUUAGUGCAAAGCAUGGUGUUAAGUUUGUGAUGUGGGAAAUGGAACUGAGACCCACCAGACUCAUAUAUGGGCCACCAAUCAUCCAUUAGACGUUAACAGAGUUAAAGACAAAUGCAAGUUAUGACAAAUAGAAACACUUUGACAGAAGCCAGUGUUCCAUGAAACAGAAUCUUCACUUUAACGAAAAGUGACUUGCAAACAAAUUAACUUCCAAAAUGUAUCUUCAAAUAAUGUUGAAGGUCUGGUUUGAAUAUUCAUCUGCCUAGAAGCACAAAAUCCACGUUGUUCUCCUCUAAGUCAAAAAGAGAAAAAAGAAGUUCCACAACUUUUGCCAGUUUAAGGCAUCCUAAUUUAACAUCAGUGCUUGCCUACAAUAUUGACCAAAUAAUUUCCCAGAAGCUGAAUAUCUGAAUCUAGGUAGAUUGUCGUACAGGAGUCUUAAUCCUGCCCUCCAAAUACAUUGCAUACAUCCUCAUAUACCAGUAUGAUAGAAAAUCCGAUAUAUCAAUAAACAGAUAUGGUAGCUGAUUCUUUAAUGUGAGGUAUACCACACAUUGGAGGGAAGUUUAAACCCUUAAAAACAGAGUGGGAGACUAUGUAGCCACAAAAGAAGCAUAAUACAGAAAGCUGCAAUGGUCUCCCUUUCUAGUAAGGAUGCCAGUUAAUGCUAUUUGUGAUCAGGAUUGACAAAACGCACACUAUGGAGUAAAUCAUGCUUCUCCGUUUGCACAGCAAAGGGUCCUGCCUGCCAUAGAACUGGUGCAGUUUCACUCUGCAGUGUGUGUGUCAGGAUUUUGGAACAUGAUGUGGAGGAUCUGCCCUCGUAGCAUGCUGCACAGCAUAGCUCCACAGGGAAUCAUUUUGCAUCUUGUAUACAUGGAAGGAGUGGAAGAGGUGGGACUGGAGUUAUUGGAUGCACAGUUAAUUAGAUCCACACCAGCUGUUGUUGUCCAUGGAGAAGAGGACUGGAACUGGAGGCUCCAGCAGCAUCUGCAGGAUGGCUCUAUAUCUUGGGGGGUGGGAGGACAGCAUAAUUCACCCUACUCUGAUGGGAGCUCCCUGUCCCAAGCCUUGUUAAGCUUUGCAUGAGAUUUGUCCCUAUGUACAGAAUAAUAUGUAGAAUUACACUGAUUUCUUUAAAAUCCAAGCCCCUGCUCUCCUGUAGUUUUUCCAUGAAGUGCGUAUUUUUUUCAGCUAGAUUCUGUUCUUCAGAAAAUAGUGGUUCAUAAUGGAAAUGUUGAGAGACCCCCCCCUAACAUCUGUCAGUUAUGAAAAUUUCUGAGUAAAGAAAACAGCAGCAAGAAGAAAUUAUUCCUCUUUUCUUCAAGGUUGUGCAGUAUGAGAUGGUUUUGGACAAAAUUCAGGUAAAACAGCCAAUGAAUUAACACAAAGUCUCAGAAUCAGGGAUUUUUUAAAUCCUUCCUUAACUUUACAUCUUCCUAAAACAGCUCUGCAAGAAAAGCAGAAGGAAAAAAAAAAAAAAGCUUAAAUCAGCGACUUACAGAUUUUCCUCCAAGGUUAAUUAAUUGUCAUUAAUUGUGAAGUACUGUAGCAAUGAACAAUAGCUUUGUGCAUGAUAAUGGGGGGGGGGAG